ACCUCGGUGGUGUAGUGUUAGCAGGCGUUCCCUUUAUGGAUGAGACGCUGGUUCGACUCCCGUCUGAGGUC
Parelaphostrongylus tenuis is the source of this 71-nucleotide non-coding RNA. The record is from the annotation of a GenBank genome assembly. Lineage: Eukaryota; Metazoa; Nematoda; Chromadorea; Rhabditida; Metastrongylidae.